Molecule: ribosomal RNA, 253 nt
Filed under: uncultured bacterium
Lineage: Bacteria
Description: partial 16S ribosomal RNA
Rfam family: Bacterial small subunit ribosomal RNA
Source: RNAcentral
UACGUAGGGUGCAAGCGUUGUCCGGAAUUAUUGGGCGUAAAGAGCUCGUAGGCGGUUUGUCGCGUCUGCUGUGAAAACUCGAGGCUCAACCUCGAGAUGUCGGCGGAAACCAUCUGGCUAGAGUCCGGAAGAGGAGAAUGGAAUUCCCGGUGUAGCGGUGAAAUGCGCAGAUAUCAGGAGGAACACCAGCGGCGAAGGCGGCGCUCUGGGCCGGUACUGACACUGAGGAGCGAAAGCGUGGGUAGCAAACAGG